UACGGAGGGUGCAAGCGUUAAUCGGAAUUACUGGGCGUAAAGCGUGCGUAGACGGUUACAUAAGUCGGGUGUGAAAGCCCCGGGCUCAACCUGGGAAUUGCAUUCGAGACUGCGUAGCUAGGGUGCGGAAGAGGGAAGCGGAAUUUCCGGUGUAGCGGUGAAAUGCGUAGAUAUCGGAAGGAACACCAGUGGCGAAAGCGGCUUCCUGGUCCAGCACCGACGUUCAGGCACGAAAGCGUGGGUAGCAAACAGG
RNAcentral lists this ribosomal RNA (253 nucleotides) under uncultured bacterium. RNAcentral describes it as "partial 16S ribosomal RNA". It matches the Rfam family "Bacterial small subunit ribosomal RNA", at positions 524 to 776 of the family's 1533-position model. The record is from RNAcentral.